Non-coding RNA from Misgurnus anguillicaudatus (oriental weatherfish), 3147 nucleotides. The record is from RefSeq and is a predicted model, not a curated record. Lineage: Eukaryota; Metazoa; Chordata; Actinopteri; Cypriniformes; Cobitidae.
GAUACUUAAGCGCUCACACCCCGCCCAGCGCAGCCUCUCCUCGGCAAGCCCAUCAGACUGCUGGCUCUGAUAUCUCUGUGGCGUUUAAACAUGCGAUUUAAUUCAUUUUAAUUUCUCAUACUUAACAAUGAAAGGGUUAUGUUUUAAAUCAUAUUUUAGGAUUGCACUUCAAUGAUAUUGCUGUUGAGUGAUGUUUCAUAUCUUUUACAUUUGUUAUAACCGGACUGCAUGCGAAUUUGAACUUCAGAGCUGAAGGAGCGGGUGGAGAAAUAGUCCCAAUAUCAUAACAAUCUUAAAUAAAACUUCUAAAUAUGCCCGUGUGUGUACCCGUGUGCGCGCGCGCGUGCGCGCGACCCGCUCGCGCGCGCGUGUGUAUGUACAGUAUAUGCGUGAGUUUUUAAUUUAAAAUGUCUUAACUCGGAAGGAUCUGAAUCACAGGUCAUUUCAUCUGAGAUCAUUCCGCAUGUAACAGCCGGAAUCACUCACUGUUUCCCACAACGACACAAGUCAUCAGCCGUUUCCUCAAGGUCACGUCAGAGCGGUGAUGAUGUGGAGAAGGCAGACCAGACCACCACCAUACGCGAAGAUGAGGCUCGAGGCGUGACAGUUAUUUUUUCAAACUGAGUUCGGACUCCAGACCGGCAUUUCUGCUUGUUUGUACCCUGAGGUAAGUAAACUUUCUACAUUUUUGAAACGAUAUUACUGAAAUAUUUAGUAUAAUUAGUUAAUAUUUAUUUUGUUAGAGUAGGUCUUGUGCUAAAUAGUGAUACUAGAAGCUACAUUUAUAAUAUUUACCUCAGUUAAAAAAUACUGCUGGUAACGUUAAAGCACUGACGGGCUUCGUCAACCGUCAGUUAUAAAAGCUCUGUUAAAUACAUUUUGUUCCUGGUUUUAAUGAAUUACGUUACAGUCCUGCUUUAUUUCUUUGUCAUUUUAAAUUAAAUUGCCAAGCACAAUAAGACAGCUGUGUUGUAAGGAGACGAAAUUCGAGACAGGGGUGUUAUUUCAAUGAAGCGCGUGGUCAAAGGAACCGGGUGGAAGACGGUGGAAGGGAAAUUAUAUGUAAAUGUUUGUCGCAGUUUUACACAUAUUCCAUAACCAUGGUUAAUAAAUGGUCAGACACGUCACUGGCUUUAAAAUAUAAACCCCAUUGAUGCAAAAAGAUGCUGCAUGGAAUGACAAUGUGGUUUGGAACAGACUUGGUGAAGAGCAUGGAAACAUCUCUUAAUAAAAUGGCCCCAAAAAUCAUCAGGAGUGCAAAAGAAGGAAGUAAAAAACAUCUCUACGCCAAUCUCAUUGGAGAGGAAACUACAGAAGGUCUGGUGAGGAAUGCUGCACUUAUGUUAUUGCAAGCAUUAUUUCAAGAAAAUCCCAGCUUCCUUGACUGUAUAAAUAGGGAACCCAAAGGUCCCACACCAACCAUAGUGUUCAACGGCUCUCCUGAUCUUCUCAAAUCUGAAAGUAUCAACUUUAUAAUGGACAAUGUGAACUUAAUAUGUGGAAGACAUUGACAUCAUAGGCUGUGGCAUGACUGUGUCACAGGUCGGAGAAGCGAACCGCCCCUGUCGCGGAUCACGCUCCUCCUAGUUCCACCUCGAGGAGGUCCCAAAGCACCCCAAUGACCAGACAAACCAGAGAUAAGUAAAAUAUAGAAAUAGAAACUUUAUUUAAAUUAUUUAAAGCUAAAGUGGGGAAUGGGAAAGGGAAUCUAAAAAUCUCGCUUCUCGCCCUCAGGGGGAGUAUUACGGGGCCAGGGACGUUGGAGGGGUUUCCACGUGACUCCAGCUGGAACACUGCUACAGAGCGUAUCUGGGUGGGUUGGGCACACACCGUCGCGGCGGCCCCUGAUGGCAUCCACAAAGGUCCAAGACCCUCCUAAGCUCCUAGCCGUAGCAGAACUACGUAUUUCAGCACCCGAAGGACUAACAACCCAGCCGGCAUCUGCAGCGUAUAUCCAACGCGAUCAAACUUCACUCUGACAAGUAACUUCCUAUACACAACCACGCCGUCCUUUCGCCCGGACCAGCCCCGCACUCUUUCCGCCCGCUACCUAGCGGUUGCCGGAUCAGCAGAGCCUGCGAACUCUUCUGAGGCUGGUCUUCAUUGUGCUGCCCAAGGCGGAAGUUGACUCGCCCGAAAAUCGACCCUUCCAGUAACUUCUACCUUCUCUCUUUAUAUCCUCCUUCACUCACACAGCUGUGCCUUGUAUCAGCGAGUGCGGGGAUUCCCAGGGAACCCGGAAGUGCCGGUGUCUGUACAAACCGGUCCGGGCGGAACCUCUUCACUCUCCUUUUGGUUCCGCCCCGCAUAGUCACUCCGUGACAACUGUUUGCGUUUUUUUCUCCUCAAUGUUCAAUACCCUUUUGCCAUUAAGCACACAGUGACUUUAAUUUAUAAAAUAUAUGCUUAAGUUUUAAUACCUGUACAAAACAAAUGUACAAUCAACUUAUGUAAAUUGUCAUUCUAUUUAAUAGAUUGUUCAUGAAUUGUCUUUAAAUGCAUUGUGAUUUCGGUAACACUUUACAAUAAAGUUCAUUAGUUAACAUUAGUUAAUGUAUUAACUAACUUGAACAAACCAUAAGCAAUACAUUUGUUACAGUAUUUAUUCAUCUUUGUUAAUGUUAGUUAAUAAAAAUUUAAGCUUUAAUUGCUUGUUCAUGUUAGUUCAGAGUGCAUUAACUAAUGUUAACAAGAUUUUAAUAAAGUAAUUGUUGAAAUUAACAUUAACAAAGAUUAAUAAAGGCUGUAUAAGUGCAGUUCAUUAUUAGUUCAUGUUAACUAAUGUAGCUAACUAAUGUUAACUAAUGAACCUUAUUGUAAAGUGUUACCGUGAUUUCUUUUCAUCAUUUCAGACACAUUUAAAAGUAACUAAAAAUUAGUACUGCAUAUACUGUACAGUAUCUAUGCGCAAGGGAAAUAACUUGAACAAAAUUUUUUAUGUAUUGUGUAAUUAAGAGUUUAGCUGUUUAAUACAGAGAUGCAAUUUAUUUAUAUAUAUUAUUUAUAUAUAAACGUAUGUAUGUUUAUUAAAAAGUGAAAAUGCUUAAUGGAAAUAAUUAAAUAACUAAAUGGUUGAAUGUAAUGAGACAUUUUAAAUGUAAACUAAAGUUUUGCUGUCUAAUACAGAAUAAAGAAAUGUGAUUUUAA